AUAUGUGGCUCAAGCAGUAGCGCGCUCGCCUGGCAUGCGUGCGGCCUGGGUUCAAUCCUCAGCACCACAUACA
This 73-nucleotide transfer RNA is filed under the name Marmota monax (woodchuck). Its description in RNAcentral is "tRNA.Ala". The record is from RNAcentral. Lineage: Eukaryota; Metazoa; Chordata; Mammalia; Rodentia; Sciuridae.